Long non-coding RNA from Rhipicephalus microplus (southern cattle tick), 574 nucleotides. NCBI's taxonomy places the organism in Eukaryota, Metazoa, Arthropoda, Arachnida, Ixodida, Ixodidae. The record is from RefSeq and is a predicted model, not a curated record.
ACUGAAGUAAAAGCGGCCAGUGAGGCUGACUCGCUGGCCAAAAUAAGAAAAUGGUGGCGUCCGUUAUGCAAUAACGAAACUCGUGCUGCCGAAGUUGCUCUCUAUUUUGGUACGCUGCAUACCUUCAGAUUCAGCAGUCCCUUAAAUUGUGGGAGCCUUCUAAAAUCUGCCCACGAAUAGCGAUUUCAGACGCUUCACUUGACUGCUUCUUUCUUCUGUGGGACGGCAUCAUAACUAUGUCAAGUUUAAGAAGUUUAUUUGGAGUUGCCGGCAGGUGCCUCAACGUGGUAUGCAGGGGCCUAUCCGUGCAGCCCUGCCAACUGCUACAACCAUUAACUGUAUCAACAGAGUUUCAGCAAAUGAGGACCCUGAUGCACCGUUUUUUUCCACGUCCGAGCGAGCACAGGAGACUCGCCAAACAUGGCUUCAAGAAACGCAUCUCCACUAAGAGUGGAAGAAGAGUUCUUUUUCGUCGUAUGCUUAAAGGAAGGCACGUCCUGUCCCAUUAACACUCAAUUUCACCAUGCAUUAAAUCAAUAUAGUAUUAGUCACCAAUAAACUGUUUUGAACUAUG